AUACGUAGGGGGCGAGCGUUGUCCGGAAUGAUUGGGCGUAAAGGGCGCGUAGGCGGCGCGGUAAGUCUGGAGUGAAAGUCCUGCUUUCAAGGUGGGAAUUGCUUUGGAUACUGCCGCGCUUGAGUGCAGGAGAGGUUAUCGGAAUUCCCGGUGUAGCGGUGAUAUGCGUAGAGAUCGGGAGGAACACCAGUGGCGAAGGCGGGUAACUGGACUGCAACUGACGCUGAGGCGCGAAAGUGUGGGGAGCAAACAGGAUUAGAUACCCUGGUAGUCCACACUGUAAACGAUGAAUGCUAGGUGUAAGAGGUAUCGACCCCUUUUGUGCCGGAGUCAACACAAUAAGCAUUCCGCCUGGGGAGUACGGCCGCAAGGUUGAAACUCAAAUGAAUUGACGGGG
Molecule: ribosomal RNA, 397 nt
Filed under: uncultured bacterium
Lineage: Bacteria
Description: partial 16S ribosomal RNA
Rfam family: Bacterial small subunit ribosomal RNA
Source: RNAcentral